RNAcentral lists this microRNA precursor (58 nucleotides) under Danio rerio (zebrafish). RNAcentral's name for it is "Dre-Mir-204-P1b_pre stem-loop". It matches the Rfam family "mir-204 microRNA precursor family", at positions 16 to 74 of the family's 89-position model. RNAcentral also lists the same sequence under 1 other name. Lineage: Eukaryota; Metazoa; Chordata; Actinopteri; Cypriniformes; Danionidae. The record is from RNAcentral.
UUCCCUUUGUCAUCCUAUGCCUGCAGUUCCUGAUGAGGCUGGGACAGCAAAGGGAGGU